Molecule: ribosomal RNA, 2046 nt
Filed under: Triticum aestivum (bread wheat)
Lineage: Eukaryota; Viridiplantae; Streptophyta; Magnoliopsida; Poales; Poaceae
Description: partial small subunit ribosomal RNA
Source: RNAcentral
AUGGGUUCGAGGAUAGCUUUCUCUUAUUGUGCUCUGCUACUGGUCACACUGCUGCCUCUUUCGGCAAAUGCGUCGAGCAAACUCUACAUAGUGUACAUGGGGGAGAAGAAACAUGAAGAUCCAUCUGUUGUCACCGCUACGCACCAUGAUAUACUAACCUCCGUACAUGGGAGCGAGGAUGAAUCCCUGAAGUCGAUAGUUUACAGUUACAAGCACGAAUUCUCUGGGUUCGCGGCAAUGCUUACCGAAACCCAAGCUAGGACGUUGGCAAGCAUAUGGCCUGAAUCACGAAGCUUUGACGACAACGGGUACAGCUUUGUGCCGGCACGGUGGAAAGGCAUAUGUCAGACCGAAACAGCAUUCAAUGCAACGAGUUGCAAUAGAAAGAUCAUCGGCGCAUGGUGGUACUCUGAGGGAAUUGACGCCAUGGACCUCAAGGGCGAGUACAUGUCGCCUCGGGAUUUCAACGGCCAUGGCACCCAUGUUGCCUCGACUAUUGCCGGAGGAGAAGUGCAGGGUGUGAGCUAUGGCGGCCUAGCCACCGGCACGGCACGUGGCGGGGCACCACGUGCACGGCUAGCAAUUUACAAGGUGUUAUGGGGCCCAAACACGGCAGCCAGUGACACGGACAUCCUUGCAGCCAUUGACGAUGCCAUACAAGAUGGCGUGGAUGUCCUGUCGCUCUCAUUGGGACGGGGUGCCCGUCACGAGUUCCCCGGGACACUUCAUGCAGUCUUGAGAGGGAUCUCAGUUGUCUUCUCUGCCGGGAAUGAUGGUCCGGCACCACAAACGGUGACGAAUGUCAUGCCAUGGGUGACGACAGUGGCAGCUAGCACGAUGGACCGGGCCUUCCCAACCCUCAUAUCUCUCGGAAACAAAGAAAAGCUUGUGGGACAAUCUCUUUACUACAACUCAACUCUGAACAGCGACGACUUCAAGGAGCUUGUUCACGCGGGAAGCUGCACGGCGGAGUGGUUAGCGUCAAACAACGUGACCGGCAAGAUCGUCCUGUGCUACGCACCAAGGCUGGCGCCCAGCGUGCUGCCUCGAGUAGAGCUGUCCCUCACCAUCAACCGUACUGUGGGUGCCGGAGCCAAGGGCCUCAUCUUUGCGCAGUACACCACGAACCUCCUGCUGAUAUGCAAGGGCGGCAUGCCCUGUAUUGUAGUAGACUACGAAAUUGCACAGAGAAUUGAAUCAUACUUGGCGAUCACAGAGAGUCCAAUCGUGAAGGUGUCACCUGGCAUGACCGUUGUCGGAGACGGGGUGUUGUCGCCAAGGGUUGCUUCAUUCUCGUCCAGAGGCCCGAGUCCUCUAUUCCCAGGCAUACUCAAGCCCGACAUAACUGCACCAGGCGUCGGCAUCUUGGCAGCUGUGCGCGGCUUCUAUGCGUUAAUGGAUGGUACAUCCAUGGCAUGCCCACAUGUCUCCGCAGUGACCGCGCUUCUUAAGUCGGUUCACCCUGACUGGUCGCCUGCUAUGAUCAAGUUUGCAAUCGUCACCACGGCGUCAGUGACCGAUCAAUUCGGCGUGCCAAUCGAAGCAGAGUCGGUGCCGAGGAAGGUAGCUGAUCCCUUCGACUUCGGUGGUGGCCACAUGGAUCCUGACAGAGCCGCUAACCCUGGCUUGGUUUACGAUGUGGAUGCAAGAGAGUACAACAAGUUUUUUAAUUGCACCCUUGGAUCGUCCCAUGGUUGCGAGUCCUACCAACUCAAUCUCAAUCUCCCGUCGAUCGCUAUUCCAGACCUCAAAGACCAUGUCACGGUUCAGCGCACUGUCACAAAUGUGGGGGCGGUCAGAACGACUUAUCAUGCGGUACUUGAAGCUCCAGCAAGGGUGGUCAUGUCCGUGGAGCCAUCUGUGAUCACAUUCGUCAAAGGAAGUAGCACAAGCAUGACAUUCAGAGUGUCGUUCACUACAAAGCGGAGAGUGCAAGGUGGGUUUACCUUUGGGAGCUUGACAUGGUCAGAUGGAAAUACGCACUCGGUUAGGAUUCCCGUCGCAGUAAGGACUGUGAUACAAGACUUUGUUGCAGAUACAUCUUAA